UACCAGCUCUCCGAGUUGUAGGGAUGAUUAUUGGGCUUAAAGCGUCCGUAGCUGGCUUAGCAAGUCUCCUGUUAAAUUCAGCGACCUAAUCGUUGAGCCGCGGGAGAUACUACUAGGCUAGGAGGCGGGAGAGGUCGACGGUACUUUCGGGGUAGGGGUGAAAUCCUAUAAUCCCGGGAGGACCACCAGUGGCGAAGGCUGCCGACUAGAACGCGCUCGACGGUGAGGGACGAAAGCUGGGGGAGCGAACCGGAUUAGAUACCCGGGUAGUCCCAGCUGUAAACUAUGCGGGCUAGGUGUUGGGGUGGCUACGGGCCACUUCAGUGCCGCAGGAAAGCCAUUAAGCCCGCGCCUGGGGAUACGGCCGCAAGGCUGAAACUUAAGGAUUGGCGGGGAGCACCACAAGGCGUGAAGCUUGCGGUUC
Molecule: ribosomal RNA, 424 nt
Filed under: uncultured archaeon
Lineage: Archaea
Description: bacterial SSU rRNA
Rfam family: Archaeal small subunit ribosomal RNA
Source: RNAcentral